This 233-nucleotide long non-coding RNA is filed under the name Elaeis guineensis (African oil palm). Its description in RNAcentral is "long non-coding RNA (EGUI_LNC019147)". The record is from RNAcentral. Lineage: Eukaryota; Viridiplantae; Streptophyta; Magnoliopsida; Arecales; Arecaceae.
CCGGUUCAUCUCCUGGAGCCUCCGGUCCAGGAAAUCCUCUCGACUACGGGUCUCGAGGGUCUUCUGGCAGAAUGGAGGUAGAGAUCUUCUAGGGGUGGAAUCGUGAUCUGACUGAGGGCUCUCCACCCUCGGAUUCGUCUUUUCGGGAAAGACGGGGUGGCUGGCCCAAGUGGCCCGUCCUACCGUCAGAUUUUGGAGUUCCGACGAUGUUCUCUCCAGUCGCACUGACGCCU